AGGAUGAACGCUAGCGGCAGGCCUAAUACAUGCAAGUCGAACGGUAAGUAGAGUAGCAAUACUUUACCAAGAGUGACGCACGGGUGCGUAACACGUAUGCAACCUACCCUUUACAGGAGUAUAGCUCGGGGGAAACUCGAAUUAACACUUCAUAGUAUAAUUGAAUGGCAUCAUUUGAUUAUUAAAUCUGAGGAGGUAAAGGAUGGGCAUGCGUCUGAUUAGCUAGUUGGUAGUGUAAUGGACUACCAAGGCGAUGAUCAGGUAGGGAACUGAGAGGUUGACUCCCCCACACUGGCACUGAGAGUACGGGCCAGACUCCGUACGGGAGGCAGCAGGUAGGGAAUAUUGGU
RNAcentral lists this ribosomal RNA (350 nucleotides) under uncultured soil bacterium. RNAcentral describes it as "bacterial SSU rRNA". It matches the Rfam family "Bacterial small subunit ribosomal RNA", at positions 26 to 368 of the family's 1533-position model. The record is from RNAcentral.